AAUAUUGGACAAUGGGCGAAAGCCUGAUCCAGCCAUGCCGCGUGAGUGAUGAAGGCCCUAGGGUUGUAAAGCUCUUUCAACGGUGAAGAUAAUGACGGUAACCGUAGAAGAAGCCCCGGCUAACUUCGUUCCAGCAGCCGCGGUAAUACGAAGGGGGCUAGCGUUGUUCGGAAUUACUGGGCGUAAAGCGCACGUAGGCGGAUUGUUAAGUGAGGGGUGAAAUCCCAGGGCUCAACCCUGGAACUGCCUCUCAUACUGGCAAUCUAGAGUUCGAGAGAGGUGAGUGGAAUUCCGAGUGUAGAGGUGAAAUUCGUAGAUAUUCGGAGGAACACCAGUGGCGAAGGCGACCACCUGGGCUAAUACUGACACUGAGGUGCGAAAGCGUGGGGAGCAAAC
Molecule: ribosomal RNA, 396 nt
Filed under: uncultured bacterium
Lineage: Bacteria
Description: partial 16S ribosomal RNA
Rfam family: Bacterial small subunit ribosomal RNA
Source: RNAcentral